Molecule: ribosomal RNA, 1511 nt
Filed under: uncultured Clostridiaceae bacterium
Lineage: Bacteria; Bacillati; Bacillota; Clostridia; Eubacteriales; Clostridiaceae
Description: bacterial SSU rRNA
Rfam family: Bacterial small subunit ribosomal RNA
Source: RNAcentral
GAACGAAGUUUUGUGGCACGGAGCACUUGUUUAAUUAAAAAAUGCACGAAGAUUAGCGACAAUUAUUGUGCAAAAUGUCAACAAGAACAAAUAAUUGAAAUAAAAUUUGUGCAAGUUGACGAAGCGAACAAAAUUUUAUGAAGAAAUUUGUUUACAGUUGGUAAAAAUUCACAAAAGGCGUAAAAGUAUUUUGUGAAAAUCGCCAAAAAAAUAUUUAAUUAAACGAAUGUUGCGUGCUAUAAAACUUAGUGGCGGACGGGUGAGUAACACGUGAGCAACCUGCCUUUAAGAGGGGGACAACAGCUGGAAACGGCUGCUAAUACCGCAUAAGACUACGGUCUGGCAUCGGACAGUAGUAAAAGGAGUAAUCCACUUAAAGAUGGGCUCGCGCCUGAUUAGAUAGUUGGUGGGGUAAUGGCCUACCAAGUCGACGAUCAGUAGCCGUACUGAGAGGUAGAACGGCCACAUUGGGACUGAGACACGGCCCAGACUCCUACGGGAGGCAGCAGUGGGGAAUAUUGUGCAAUGGGGGAAACCCUGACACAGCGACGCCGCGUGAGUGAAGAAGAUUUUCGGAUUGUAAAACUCUGUUGACGGGGAAGAAAUUGACUGUACCCGUUUAGAAAGCCACGGCUAACUACGUGCCAGCAGCCGCGGUAAUACGUAGGUGGCAAGCGUUGUCCGGAAUUACUGGGUGUAAAGGGAGUGUAGGCGGGUUUAUAAGCCAGAUGUGAAAUACCAACGCUCAACGUUGGCACUGCAUUUGGAACUGUAGAUCUUGAGUGAAGUAGGGGUAAGCAGAAUUCCUGGUGUAGCGGUAAAAUGCGUAGAUAUCAGGAGGAACACCGGCGGCGAAGGCGGCUUACUGGGCUUUUACUGACGCUGAGGCUCGAGAGCGUGGGGAGCAAACAGGAUUAGAUACCCUGGUAGUCCACGCCGUAAACGAUGAUUACUAGGUGUGGGGGGAUUAACCCCUUCCGCGCCGCAGCUAACGCAAUAAGUAAUCCACCUGGGGAGUACGACCGCAAGGUUGAAACUCAAAGGAAUUGACGGGGACCCGCACAAGCAGUGGAGUAUGUGGUUUAAUUCGAAGCAACGCGAAGAACCUUACCAGGUCUUGACAUUGAUGGAAUCCGCAGAGAUGUGGAGUGCCUUCGGGAGCCAGAAAACAGGUGGUGCAUGGUUGUUGUCAGCUCGUGUCGUGAGAUGUUGGGUUAAGUCCCGCAACGAGCGCAACCCUUAUCAUUAGUUGCUACAUUUAGUUGAGCACUCUAAUGAGACUGCCGUUGAUAAAACGGAGGAAGGUGGGGAUGACGUCAAAUCAUCAUGCCCUUUAUGACCUGGGCAACACACGUACUACAAUGGCAGUAACAACGAGCAGCAAGCCGGCGACGGCAAGCGAAUCUCUAAAAAACUGUCUCAGUUCAGACUGCAGGCUGCAACUCGCCUGCACGAAGUUGGAAUUGCUAGUAAUCGCGAAUCAGCAUGUCGCGGUGAAUACGUUCCCGGGU